This 462-nucleotide ribosomal RNA is filed under the name uncultured bacterium. RNAcentral's name for it is "partial 16S ribosomal RNA". It matches the Rfam family "Bacterial small subunit ribosomal RNA", at positions 29 to 507 of the family's 1533-position model. The record is from RNAcentral.
AUGAACGCUGACAGAAUGCUUAACACAUGCAAGUCGAUGGGGAAGUGGUGCUUGCACCCUGGCAACCAUGGCGGACGGGUGAGUAACGCGUAAGGGACUUACCUGCAGGACUGGGAUAACAGGGGGAAACUCCUGACAAGACCGGAUAAUGUCAUGGAGCUGCAUGGCUUUAUGAUGAAAGGAGACGCCUGCGGAGAGCCUUGCGUCCUAUUAGCUAGUUGGUGAGGUAAUGGCUCACCAAGGCGAAGAUAGGUAGCCGGCCUGAGAGGGUGGACGGCCACAAGGGGACUGAGAUACGGCCCUUACUCCUACGGGAGGCAGCAGUGGGGAAUAUUGGACAAUGGGGGCAACCCUGAUCCAGCAAUUCUGUGUGCACGAAGAAGGUUUUCGGAUUGUAAAGUGCUUUCAGCAGGGAAGAAGUAAGUGACGGUACCUGCAGAAGAAGCGACGGCUAAAUACGUG